This 34150-nucleotide long non-coding RNA is filed under the name Hordeum vulgare. RNAcentral describes it as "long non-coding RNA (HVUL_LNC018283)". Lineage: Eukaryota; Viridiplantae; Streptophyta; Magnoliopsida; Poales; Poaceae. The record is from RNAcentral.
GGUUACAGGAACUAUUUUACUGAGCCAUCACAACUUAUUGAGCAAUCACAUCUUGUUUGUAACAUAGUCAAACAUAUAGGCAACAAUAUUGAAGUCCAUUGUAGAUCACCACAAAUCAAUCACACAUGCAAGGUUUUAGUAACAAGAUGAAGAAACCACUAUUGGAUGUUAAUUUUCCUACUUUGCAUAAGGUUGCCAUUUUCUAUCCCCUUAGUAACAAUCUUAGCAAUAAUGAAAAUUGACUGUAACUUCGAAAGUGGAAAGCACAGGUACGACCUGGCCUUGUUGGUAAGGUUCAGGAGUGUUGUCAACAUAUUUUUUGGGAAAUGGUACAAGAAAACAGAGACUGCUUAUAACAAGGCUUGGGGCAUGUCUGGUUUCCAGCCACAGUUUGCCACACCUGACAAUAUUCAAACAAAAUAUUUCAUGUGUGUCUUCCAGAGUAGAACACCAGAAUGGUCUGUUUGUUGAAUGGAUAAUUAUCAUUCACAAAUGAUAUUGUGUGUGCUUGAGUUCGAAGAGUUCUCAAAACUGACUUAUUCAAGACAAACUGGACUGAAGUGAUAAAAACAAGGACGCGGUGUCAUACAGGCUACCAAUACACACAAAAACUGCCCCUCAAACAGGCAACCAUCUAAGCAAACUAAAGCAUUGUUCAGAUCUGUCACUGGUGCUGUUUAAGUGGUCAUCACUGAUCAAAUUGCUCAGUCGCCAAUUCAUGCAUGUGGGGCUGACCACUGUACCACGUAAGUGUGGUGGUCCCUUUCACACACACAGAGGGAGAGAGGGAUACCAGAGGGGGUGUGGGGGUGCUGCUGCCUCUGAAUGAAUUAGGCAAUCACACUACCUUAUGUUUGUAUUUGAGCAACAGUCAAGUUUUUCACAUACUUCAACCUGCCUCGUGAGUUGUUGUACCUCUGGUGCAAUUUGUGCUGCUGCCGGGCAUUAAGGCUGUGUUUGGUUGAGCUGGAAAGUGGGGGGUACCCCGAGCUUUGAAAUUUACACUAGGAAGAAGCUAUAGAUUCUCAAAAGCUGCUUUGAACAUUUACCCCUUUGGUUAGCUUUUAGCUUUUCAAAGCAGAAGUUGGUAACAAAAGCUGAACCAAACACAGCCUAAAUAUGUUGGCACUGUUAAAUGCUGUGAGAAUAGCCAACAGGUGCAAUUUCGACCCACCCACCCCCCCACCCCCCAAAGUUAGGAACCCCGAGCUUUGAAAUUUACACUAGGAAGAAGCUAUAGAUUCUCAAAAUCUGCUUUGAACAUUUACCCCUUUGGUUAGCUUUUAGCUUUUCAAAGCAGAAGUCGGUAACAAAAGCUGAACCAAACACAGCCUAAAUAUGUUGGCACUGUUAAAUGCUGUGANUUCACAUACUUCAACCUGCCUCGUGAGUUGUUGUACCUCUGGUGCAAUUUACCGUUAUCAAAAUAAUAAUGCUGACCUACAUUGCAGUGAUAUGGGUACGUAAAUACAUCAUUUUUGAAAAGCACCAAUACAGGGAUAUGUUUUGACUAUUUUGGAAAUAAUAUAAAAAAAAUAUGUCAUCAAAUAAGCAUCAAGCCAUUUAGCAUAUACUUAGUCAGUGCAGUCCAUUAUCUUUGAAGUGCAAAAACGUCUUAGAUUUAGGAUAGAGGUAGUGGGAGAGCUAUUUUGGCUCUGGGGUGCACGUGCUCCCUGAUGAACAGUAAAUUCAAAUAAAAUAGUAAGUAAAUUUUAAAAAUUCUGAUUUUUUUUGUAGAUGUUCUUGUUAGUGUAACAAGCGUGCUCGACAAUUUUCAUGCGAAACGGGAUAGCAAUGCUUCGUCGGUGAAAAAACCAAAAAUAUGUGUAACAUUUGGUGUUCAACUUGUUUAUUUUGCGCAAGACAAAAUGAUUAAGCUUACCCCCUAAUUUGCAGGUAGCAUUUUGGUGUGACAAUGAAUGCAAGUAUUUUUUUUCAAAUUCUUUCAACAUUUGCAGGAAACAUUUUUAGUGCGCAGGAGCAUAUGCUCCCAAGAGCCGAGUUGCAUUUUCCCAGAGGUAGUAAGAAUUGCAUUUCCCCAGAGGUAGUAUCUUUUUAUCCAUGAUUCCAAUAAAAGCAAGAACCAACGGCCAAAGGGUAGCAGCAAUUUACCAAACAUAAAAUUCAGUUAGAGAGAAAGGGAUGGGGAGGAGGAAAUCAGCAGACAUCCAUUAGAUAGAAUUCUACAGGAUAGUGGGGUUAUCGGGGACGUAUCGGAUAUGGUAUCCGAUACGGAUAUGUUGGUUGAUGGAAGCAUCAGUGUUUUCUUGAUGCUGACCAACAAAUUAUUAAUUCCAAGGUGUGUGAAUAGCCGAAGGCAUCGUAGAAAAGCCAAAUUUGCGAACAAAUGCUAGUAUGUGUCAUUAAUGAAAGGAUUGCCAGAGUUAAGGAAGUUACAUGAUCAUUUGUAGUGGUGCUCGCAGGUGCUUCGUCUUUGUCCCCGCCAGGAGGGCCAGCUUCAGGCUUUCGUCCUUCUUUGAGAGCUUUUCUAAUUUCAGCAGCUUUCCAGAUGGCAUAUUUUUGCUUCUGCUCCAGCUGUUAAAGGACAGUUAAAGCAUAUGUACAUGCAUAUAUUUUGAAAAUUUGACAUUACAUAGUAAAAUUGUAGACAACAGCAUAUUAGGCUUAAAUUAAGAUUUAUUUACAGAUGUAGACAUCACCAUAUUACACUUACAUCAGGUUGAAGCUCACCAAACUGACUGAGAAUCUCAAAAAAGAUGCUGGCGGCAUAGAAGGUUUUUGCAGUGUUUCUGCAAAAUGUGAAGUGCAUUAGUGAGACUACAAAUAGCUAAGCCUGAUAUGACUGAAGUAGAAUAAGAAUAGUUCAGUACAAUACAUGUCAGCUCGUCCAGCACGAUCCUGUUUGUCUGCUUUAGCAAAGACACUUGAUGCAAACCCCUCCAAAUGAAGAUGGUCAUCGGGCCCCAAGGUCAAAGAUUUCUUAUCCUGGAGGAUGCAGAACUUAAUUAGGAAUACAAUCUGAGAAAAAGAAACUUACCAAUCUAUAAUGUAGCAGAUCAAGGGUAUGAUAUAAAGGAUUGUUAUGUUACUUCAAAACAUGCAAGCGAUCGAGUGGCAACCCUUAAAAUCACAAGCCCAAAAUCAAUCCAAUCACAGAACACUACCGCCCCAUUUGAAACCCAGUGGGUGGCAUCAAACUGGCCACAAGACCAUGGAGAAAACAGAACAAAAACUUACACUAAUACUGAUCCAUUGGAAUUCAAUGUCAAUGGAAGAUCAACACAUAUUGCUGAGUGGUUCCAUUACUUGAUUACGAGAAUCGGUAUGAAUUCAGGUGGAAUCUAUUCCUAUAUAUGUUUCCAACAAUGGAAACAUGGGACUUCAUAAAGUAUUCAUUGCAGUGCACUUAUAUGCUAACAGCAAAAUGCCAAAAUCACCAUACCACUCAAAUGAUUUAUAUACCCUUAUUCUUCUUAUAGGCAGUCACAUAACUGGUUGCUAAUCAAAACAAAAUACAUCUACGUUCGCGUGCCCAAACCCUCAAUGCGACGAACGCAACAGAUCCAGACUAAAUUAGAGUCCACAACUGCUUAGUUUCCCCACUAAUAAGAGAACAAGCGAAAGUAAAAGGGGAAGGAUGCGUACGAUACCUUCUCGAGCUGGUUGAUGAGGGAGACGAGGAUGGAGUUGGUCAUCUUGGUGCGCUCCUUCUGCGGGAUCACCAACCCCUUCUCCAUCGCGUACAACCGACCUGCUCAAACCAAAUCCGAAUCUCAGACAGAACCCUAGCAAUCAGCGGCGAUUCACGGCGAUCGCCGCGAGGCGGAUAGAUAGACGGCGGGGCGUCGUCGCUCACAAUAGUAGGCGACGAGGGGCUCGUGCUUCUGCAGCUCGUCGGCGCGCUGCAGGUAGGGCAGCAGCCCCUUGGCCGGCUCCGUGCCGCUGCCCAUCGGCCGCGGUGGUGACGGCGGCCUCGCUGCUGGAGAGGGCGGCGGAGGGGGUGGGGUGGAGAUUGGGGGUUUGGGUUCGGGGAGGCGGCGAUUUGGUUGGGUUUAGUUCGAUUUGGGUAGGUUUUCUGCUCUGGGAGUCGUUGCGCGGAUGCCGCGACUUCGUCAGGAAGGAACCGCAGAGGUGGGGUGGGAGGGAGGAAAGGAGAAGCUUCUUUCCGAUCGUGGGGGUGGGCCGGUGGGGCUGGAUUUUUACGCGAAGGUUCCUCGCAUUGCUGUGCAUUUGCACCCAGCUCCUUCCGUGCUCUCGCUCGCCGACCGUCUGAUCCCGAAAGGUCUGGGAAAGUAUACCGUUAACAUAGGGCCGUCCUUGGGAAUGUACUCUUUUACACUUGAGCUUAAAUGAAGCUCGGAAAAACAGUAAAUUCAAAUAAUAUUUUCAAAAUGUUUAAAAAAAUCUUAUUUUUUACAGUAAAUUUUGACAAAUAUUUUUAUAAAUCAUAAUUUUUUAGGGGGAAUGCUAAGAUGGACACUUAAGGAAUUAAAAUUAACCUCGUAAAAUAUAAGAAGGAUUAGUGCGCUUGCCGUCAAAACUCCUAAUGCUAACUGCUAAAUUACAUGCGUUAGCGCUGCUCAAUUCCACUUUUUUUCAUCUCUUGCACAACUAAUCGCUAACAUCAUGCAUGAUGGGGUCAUAGUCCUAGGGUAGGGUCAUAGGCCUCUCAUGUAGGUCCUACCNUCAGGCUUAUACCCACGACAGUUGGCGCCUACCUUCGGGCAGGCUUCUAAGCGACUUCCGUCGAGUUUGCGACUACUUCCUUUCGUCAUGUCGUCCGGUGGAGAUUCGAGCAUGGGUCCCCAGAUCUUCUUCGGCGCUCUCUCCUUCAUCGUCGAAGAUUCGGCGUGGCUUCGGGAUGCGCCCCUCGACGUCGAGGCGCUUCCCCGUCGCGGGGCUACGCACUUCCGUGCCGGUGCCCGCGGCAUUCUUCUUCUCCAGCAGUCGGCUCCGGUGUCGACCUACACCGUCGUCACGCGCCGCGUCAAGCGGUCCCGCCGUCCGCGGCUCCAACGUUGGGUGCAACACGCCCAGGCGCGCCAGAACGCAUCUUCACAAGUGGUGGUUCUAGAGUCAGUUGUGGUUGCCCCGCUGUCCCAGCGCUCGGGCUCGGUUCCGACUGAGUUUCUUUCCAAGUACGCGGGUCACGGGCCUGCAGCCGAAGUACACAUGGCCAAUUCCCAUGAAGAUCCCCCGUCAGGCUGGCCGGAACGAGCACGAGAUCGGCGAAGCGUCCGGCGCGCGUCGUCCACCUCGCCGUUCUGCUAGUCGGCACACUCGGCGGAGCAACGUGGAGCUGUUUCGCACACCCCUCCUCAACUUGGCUGCGGCUGCCAAGAUAGCCGAUUCCCUCCAGCCGACUGAUUCAGAGGCAGGAAGGGGGAUCGAGCAGAUCCGAGCCCAGUUGCACACGGCGCAGCAGCAGAAUUCGGCGGUCUUCCAGUCACACAACCGGAUCUAUAAUAGUUCCGUCCACGCGAAUACGCAUCGGUCGGUUCACGACCCAGGUUCCCAUCAGCAGCACAGAGGAGGCAGCCGUUCCAUAAAUCACGAAGAUCGCCACCGUUCACGCACCCCUCCGCGGGGUGGGCCCUACGGGCCCCGACAUCAUGAUGAUCGGCGUUCAGCCGGUGACACUUACGACCCAAGGCCCGACGCAAGAGGGCAUAUCGCCCAGCGGAGGGUCGACAGGGGUCGGGCCCACCGCGAUGGUCGCGAUAUCGACCGUCCGAGUGGAAGCAGGGCCACCGUUUCUGGCCCCGAGUGUUUCAGUCGAGCCAUCCGUUCGGCUGACAUCCCUCCCAACUUCCGAUUGGCGACGGGAAUUAGCAAGUUCACAGGAGAGUCCAAGCCAGAAACGUGGCUGGAUGACUACCGAGUGGCAGUCCAGAUCGGAGGAGGGGACGACCAUGUCGCCAUGAAGCACCUCCCUCUGAUGCUCGACGGCUUGGCGCGAGCGUGGCUGAACCAGUUGGCCCCCUCAAGCAUCUACAGUUGGGCAGAUCUGGCCCGAGUGUUUAUCAGGACCUUCGAAGGGACGUGCAAGCGCCCUGCUGGCCUUGUGGAGCUCCAGCACUGCGUCCAGAAGCAAAAUGAGCCCCUGCGUGACUUCAUCCAGCGCUGGACAACUCUCUAUCACACGGUGGAGAACGUCACCGAGCAUCAAGCAGUCUGCGCCUUCAAGGCAGGCGUGCGGUACAGGGAUCUGUACCUGAAGUUCGGCCGAACAGGCGACAUCUCCAUGAGCAAGAUGAUGGAGAUAGCAACACGCUAUGCAAAUGGUGAAGAAGAGGACCGCAUCCGAAGCGGCAAGCACAAAACAGUCGCUGAUGGCGAUGAGGGCAACACUCGGAAGCAGAAGCAGAAAGCUCCGACCGCUCCGCAAGCAGAAGCUGCAGCCGUAACCAAUGCCAAGUUCAAGGGCAAAGGGAAGGCUCAGUUCACCCCUAAGAAGAAGCAGUUCAAUAAUCCCAUCCUGGACCAGCCAUGUCCGGUUCAUACGAAGAUGGAUGAAGAAGGCAACCCCAUAUAUGCGAAGCAUACCACUCGACAGUGUCGCCUCCUGAUCCAGGGGUUCAGCGAAGGGCAACCGAGUGAGAAGGACCAUGAACAGGAUGAGGAGGAUAAGGAGGAUCCGUUCCCCCAAGUCCAUGCAACCCUGAUGAUCUUUGCUGACGUCGAGAGCAAGAGCCGACUGAAGCUGGUGAACAGAGAGGUGAACAUGGCCACCCCUACCAACCCCAAGUUCCUCAAAUGGUCUCAGACUGCGAUCACCUUCGACCAGUCGGAUCAUCCGGCACAUGUACCCACCCCGGGAAGACAGGCCCUGGUCGUCGACCCGGUGGUAGAAGGAGUCCGACUGCGCAAAGUCCUCAUGGAUGGCGGCAGCGGCUUGAACAUCAUGUACGCCGACACCCUCAAGGGGAUGGGCAUCCCGAUGUCCAAACUCAGCGAGAGCGGCAUGCAGUUCCACGGAGUCGUCCCUGGACGGAAGGCCAAAUCACUCGGCCAGAUCGCGUUGGACGUCGUUUUCGGCUCCGACAAGAACUUCCACAAGGAAAAGCUGACGUUCGAAGUGGUUGACUUCCAGAGCGCUUAUCACGCAAUUCUGGGUCGCCCAGCGUAUGCGCACUUCAUGGCCCGUCCAUGUUACGUAUACCUGAAGCUGAAGAUGCCAGGCCCGAAGGGUGUGAUCACCAUCACAGGCAAUCGGCAGCGGGCUGAAGAGUGUCUGCAGCAGGGAUCAAGAAUCGCCGACCAGCAGAUGGUCGUCCUCGAGCUGGACGAGUACAAGAAAACAGUCGACCCCGCCGACCUGAUGCGCUCGAAGAAGCCAGCUUCAGAGUCUGCAUUUCAGUCGGCGGGAGAGACGAAGAAGGUCAACAUCCACCCGACGGACGCCACUGCUGCUCCGAUGAACAUCUCCACCACCAUCGAUCCUAAAUAGGAAGCCGAGCUCACCCAAUUCCUCCAUGAGAACUGGGACAUCUUCGCAUGGAAACCCUCCGACAUGCCAGGUGUACCCAGGGAGUUGGCUGAGCACCGACUGCAUGUGGAUUCCACGGCUCAGCCUGUCCAAGAGCGCGUGCGCCGGUCCACCGCGCACAAGAGGAAGGCAAUCGGGGAAGAGGUGGCCAAGCUGCUGGCAGCCAACUUCAUUCGCGAGGUUCACCACUCCGAGUGGCUCGCCAAUGUUGUCAUGGUGCCCAAGCAGGACAAGUCGCUCUGAAUGUGCAUCGACUUCAAGCAUCUCAAUAAGGUCUGCCCGAAAGACCAUUUUCCGCUCCCCCGCAUAGAUCAAAUUGUCGAUUCGACUGCGGGUUGCGAGCGUCUGUCAUUUCUCGAUGCCUACUCGGGCUAUCAUCAGAUCCGUCUGUAUGGUCCUGAUGAGUUAAAAACAGCCUUCAUCACCCCAUUCGGGUGCUUCUGCUACAUCACUAUGUCGUUCAGUCUGAAGAAUGCAGGAGCUACCUUUAUGCGCAUGAUCCAAAAAUGUCUCCUCGAUCAGAUCGGUCGGAAUGUGGAGGCGUAUAUGGAUGAUAUCGUAGUCAAGUCACGCAAAGGUUCCGACCUGCUGACUGACUUGGCAGAAACAUUCGCCAACCUUCGUAGGUACGAUAUCAAGCUCAACCCCGCCAAAUGUUCAUUCGGCGUUCCCAGCGGAAAGUUACUCGGUUUCUUCGUCUCCGAACGAGGGAUCGAUGUCAACCCCGAAAAGAUCGGGACCAUCGUCCGAAUGGAGAGGCCGGCCCGAAUACACGAUGUUCAACGGCUCAUAGGUUGCCUAGCGGCUUUGAGCAGGUUCAUCAGUUGACUCGGCGAAAAAGCACUUCCUCUGUACCGACUCAUGAAGAAAUCAGAUACUUUCGAGUGGACAGAUGAAGCCCAAGUCGCAUUCAACGACCUCAAAGUCCUACUUUUCACCCAGUCGGUUCUUACUGCUCCGCUCAGUAAAGAGCCCUUUCUUCUGUAUAUCGCGGCUACAAAUCAAGUCGUCGGUACUGUUCUUACAGUCGAACGAGAAGAAGAAGGCAAAGCAUACAAAGUUCAGUGGCCAGUGUACUACAUCUCCGAAGUCCUGACUCCUUCCAAGCAGAGGUAUCCCCACUAUCAAAAACUUAUCUACGGGAUUUACAUGACUGCGAAGAAGGUGGCCCAUUAUUUCCAAGACCACUCGGUGUCUGUCGUUUCUGAUGCUCCAUUGUCGGAAAUUCUCCACAAUCGAGAUGCGUCAGGCCGAGUGGCGAAGUGGGCGAUGGAGAUGUUGUACUGCGAUAUCAAGUUCGAGGCCAAGAAAGCUAUUAAGUCUCAAGCUCUGGCUGACUUCAUAGCAGAAUGGGUAGAACAACAGCAACCGACCCACAUCUGCUCGGCCCAUUGGACAAUGUUCUUCGAUGGGUCCAAGAUGUUGAAUGGCUCCGGCGCUAGCGUUGUGAUCAUAUCACCAAAGGGCGACAAGCUCAAGUACGUGCUACAGAUACACUUCGAUUCCUCCAACAACGAGGCAGAGUAUGAAGCUCUCCUCUACGGGUUGCGUAUGGCCAUCUCACUCGGCGUCCGUCGCCUGAUGGUCUACGGCGAUUCGGAUUUGGUGGUCAAUCAAGUGAUGAAAGAGUGGGACGUUAGAAACCCCGCCAUGACUACAUACUGCAAUGCAGUGAGGAAGCUUGAGAAGAAGUUUGAAGGUCUAGAACUUCAUCAUGUUCCGAGACUGAAGAACCAAGCAGCUGAUGAGUUAGCAAAACUCGGAUCCACUCGGAGACCAGUCCCGAGUGACGUCUGCCUCGAGCACCUCCACCUUCCCUCAGUCAAAGAAGAUCCUUUCACAGAGGAGCUGACACAACCAAAGAGUUCAACGGAUCCGACUGAAGUCGAUGUACCUGCUGUGGUUGACCUGGUCAUGGAGAUUCUUGCCGUCAUCCCCGAUUGGACUGUGCCGAUCAUUGCAUAUAUCCUGAGGCAAGAACUACCGGAAGACGAAGUCCAGGCCAGGCAGAUAGUCCGCAGGUCGAAGUCGUUCACUGUUAUUGAUGGCCAAUUGUACAAAGAAAGUAUCUCUGGCGUUCUUCAACGAUGCAUCUCCCCAGAGGAGGGGCAGCUGAUUCUGGAGGAUAUCCACUCGGGGACCUGCGGUCAUCACGCUUCUUCGAGAGCAAUCGUCGCCAAGGCAUUCAGGGCUGGUUUCUUCUGGCUGUAGGCUAACGAGAUGGCUAAAGAUAUGGUUGACCGAUGUGAGGGCUGCCAGUUCUACUCCAACAAGUCCCACAAGCCGACGUCUGCGUUGAAGACGAUCCCUCUUGUGUGGCCGUUUGCAGUGUGGGGAUUAGACACAGUCGGCCCAUUCAAGACAGGCCAAGGUGGAUACACACAUCUGUUGGUGGCAGUCGACAAGUUCACGAAAUGGAUCAAAGCGAAGCCCACCAAGAAGCUCGAGCCUCAACAGCCGUCAAGUUUGUCAGGGACAUCAUCUUCAGAUUCGGUGUACCUCACAGCAUAAUCACGGACAACGGGACAAACUUUGACUCGGACAGAUUCAAAGGUUUCUGUACAAGCCAAGGCAUCCGAGUGGAUCUUGCUUCCGUAGCGCAUCCUCAGUCCAAUGGACAAGCAGAGCGGGCAAACGGACUUAUUUUGCAAGGUUUGAAGCCCCGACUCCUGCGAGAGAUAGGACAUGCCGCUGGCGCUUGGGUUACCGAGCUACCUUCAGUGCUUUGGGGACUUCGCACAACCCCGAACAGAUCUACAGGGCGAUCACCGUUCUUCCUCGUUUAUGGAGCAGAAGCGGUCCUUCCGAGUGACUUGCUUCACAAUGCGCCACGAGUCGAACUCUUCUCCGAAGCCGAAGCAGAACAAGCAAGGCAAGACGGAGUGGAUCUCCUGGAGGAGGAGCGCGAGAUGGCACUAACUCGCUCGACCAUUUAUCAACAAAAUUUGCGGUGUUUUCAUGCACGCCACGUCAGAAGUCGCACGUUCCAAGCAGGCGACCUGGUGCUCCGAGUGGAUCAGCAAAGACCUCACAAGUUGGCUCCGGCCUGGGAAGGACCCUUCAUCAUCUCCAAGGUGCUGAACAACGGAGCAUACAGACUCUACAACAUCGAGAGGGAGACAGACGAGCCGCGUGCAUGGAACGGAGAUCUCCUGAAGCGCUUCUACACGUGGCCGUCGACUGAAGCAAUGUAAAGAACAAGUAUUGGUGAAAUAAUAUAAAGAAGAUUGAGUUUUUUGCAAGUUCAAAGUUCUUCCACGGUCGCAGACUCCGGUCUCAAAAAAAAAAACUUAGCUGCGAUCCAGAAUCGCCUAAGUAUUAACCUUCUCCGAGUGUGCACUUCACGUCACACUCNNNNNNNNNNNNNNNNNNNNNNNNNNNNNNNNNNNNNNNNNNNNNNNNNNNNNNNNNNNNNNNNNNNNNNNNNNNNNNNNNNNNNNNNNNNNNNNNNNNNUCUCCGAGUGUGCACUUCACGUCACACUCAGGAGCUUAGCUGCGAUCCAGAAUCGCCUAAGUAUUAACCUUCUCCGAGUGUACUCUUAACGUCACACUCGGAGACUUAGGGAAUUCCACAGACCCUCAAUGAGGCUCAUGCAGAUGUCAAAACAAUCGACAUGUUCCGAAUGUUUGCCUUUGGCUUCACGAAGAAACGCCAAACAAAAACUCGAGUCAACAUUGCAACAGAAGAGCAAAAGAAUCAAUUCAAAGUUCAACCAAAGAUACUGGCUCGGUGUGGAUCAAGCUUACCCACACCAAACCAAGAAUGUGAAGGCUAACAGAAGUGGCCAAAGUUUCUUACAGAUCCACACUCGGCAUACCGAGGAUAAAAGUGUUUUUACGCUUCAUCUGGAUUAACACCAGGACUGGAGGGCUCUACGAACGUGUCCAGAUCAAUACCGUCGGCGAUGCGGGUGGCGCUUUCAAGGAAGGUUUCCAUGAAGUCUUCGAAUUGAAGUUUCUUCGUGUUGGCCACCUUCAACGUCUUCAACUUCUCCUUGCGCACCUCCUUUCAAUGGACUCGGACCAGGGACAGAGCAACAUCUACACCGCAACGAGCUGCAGAUUUCGUCCACGACUGCACUCGGUUGGGAAUCUCCUCCAGUCGGGUCAUCAGGUUCUCCAUCUCCUGCCGCGACUCAUCUUCUGGCCAAAGCUCCUUGUCAAUUUGGCCGACGACUUCUCUCAGUCGACCGAUGAAAGGACCAACUUUGCCCACGCGGAUGUGCGCACGGAGCAGAUCCCGAUUGGCGUCGUCGCCGAGUGGAACGUUCUCAAGAAUCGACCGCUCCACGUCAGUUGCUUCAGCUUCGGCGUCAAAGCAAAAAUCUGCGACAAUAGGACAAACAGACAAUAAGUGCCACAGUGUGACGCGCAUAACACAACCACUCAGAAAAAGCAGGACUUACCAGCCAGACGAGUCAUCAUCUGCCGAGCCCAGUCGCUGACAUAUUUCUCCUGUGCCCUGCAUCGUUUGUUCAGCACGUCCAUCUGACCCAUCAGAGCAGUCCUCUGUUUCCCCAUCUUUUCCACUUCCUCAGUCAACACCUUGUUCGCUUCCCGAGCCUGCUCCAAUGACUUCUCUCGUCCCUCCAGAGCAUCCUUCAUGCCAGCCAUUGCGAGCAUGGCCGCAUCAAGCUCACCAGCGAGCUGAUUCCUCUCCGCCUUGAGAGUCUCAUAGGCUGAUCCCAUUUCACAGGUUUUCUGCCACCAAACACCAAGGGACAAUCAGAAAAUUCAACAAUAAAAGUCUAAGUUCUUCAGACCCCUGCCGACGCAAGCAGUCGACAGCGGUCUCGGGGACUACACCCAGUGGGUUCACUAAGAGUGACCCCACUGGCAUGCCACUCAAGCAGGCCCGCCCUAUUGAGCUGCAUGUUACCACCUACGCCUACGAGGCCAAUACUACCCGACCCGAGUACAACUUACUCUCGGAGACUCUUACAGAAAAUGCACUCCGAGUGCCACAACUGCUAGCAGUCGGUCAUGUUAUUUACAGACCUGACCAAAGCAAAGACAAUAUGUAUAAAGACAACUGCCGGUGCAAGCACUCGACAGAAGUCUCAGGGACUACACCCACUGGGUUCACUCAGAGUGAACCCAUUGCAAACAACAGCUGUUAUCCAAAAAACACCCAGUGGGUUACAAGAGAAAAGUAAAUACUUACUAGCCCACUUACUCGGAUAUCAUCCCGCAGCUCCAGGCUCCGCUGGUACAAGGACGCGACGGAGUCGUAGGCCCUCUUGGCCUCCCCAGCCAUCAGCUCCGCCUGCACCAUGGCUCCCUUGGCCGCUCCCACCUGCUCCUCCGGGAGACGCUAGAUGUUGAACUCGACAUUCGACGAGCCUGGCAUCGUCGGAAGCUCCUGAGGCAUCCUGAGGUCCGCUCCAGUCGGCACCUCAACCACCAGCGCCGGUUCAGUCGGCGGCAAUGCCUCAAUCGGCGGCACGUUGGCGGCGAGAGCAGCAACAGGCGGAGCGGCCUCAAGAACGGGCUCCGCAGCCUGUUCAGCUCUCCCCUGAUCGCCUUCGUCCACGCAAAUCGCCCCUGAUAGACCGAACGACGCAAGAUCUCAGAAAAGAAAGAGGCAGAACCUAUGAUAGAAUAAAACACUCGAAGUCACUACAACGCACCUGGCUGGGACGAGACGACGUUGUCCGUGUCCAUGAGGUCGUCUUCUUGGCGCGCCGGAGAGGUGGCAGAAGUAGCAACUCUGUCGAGUGAAAUCCAUUUGACCAAUGAACAAGAAUUCACUCGGAUAUCAGAAGAAAUUAGAAGAUCGAUACACUUACGUGGAGGUGACGGGGACAACAACCCUCAUCCGCGGCAGAGCCUUCCGAGGUUUGGACCCACUCGGUUUGGCCGCCUUGGAAGACUGACCCGCAGGUUCAGCGGCGGCAUCCCUGGCCCUUUUGGUGCUCCGAGCACUCGGGACCACCGGGGCAGUAGGCGGAGCACUCGAAGAUGCUGGAGGGGCCGAGGGAACGGCAGGCUCGUGUCGGCGCUUGGUCCAAUGCUCUGUUUGCGGAGGCGGAGAGCCCUGCUCUUCGUCUUCCUCCUCUUCCUCGCUGGUCUCUUCCUCCGACUCCCCGCUGUAGGAGACAUAUUCAGCGCUCUCCAUGCUGCCCUCCUGGCUGCCUUCCUCCUCCUCGGCCGGGUUCCCGUUCGAGACGGGAGAAAACCAGUUGGUCCACUCCUGCAUAAAAUUCAGUCGGCGACAUCAGACGUUGCAUAGAGAUUCAAGCAAAUGAUAAGAUUAAGACAGUUAGGAGCACUCGACAAGUGCCACUCACCUGAUUUGGAGGAGGAUUAUCCGCGCAGAAGGGCUUCACUCGCCGAGAUCCUUUGGGAUUCUUGCAGGGGCCUGUGAUCUGGAGCACCCACGAGGUCACCCUCUCCUCAGUCACGCCCACAACUUUGGUCCGAGUGAAUCCUCGAGCCCCGUAUAAUGCCACAUGGCGUGGUCGCGAGCCUGUAGGGGCUGGAUACGCCGACCAAGGAAGACCUCCAGCAAGUCUAUGCCAGUGACCCCCCUCCUGACGACAUCUACGAGCGCCCCGACCAGAGGCUGGAUGUCGUUCUUCUCCGCCCUCGUGAGCGCGAGUUGCUUAGGUGGGGCGGGCCGAUCUAAGCUAAAGGGAGGCAGCCCUGUCGAAGCAUUCGGGCAGGCGAUAUCCUGGCAGUAGAACCACGUCGACUGCUAGUUCCUGACCGACUCACUUAGCUGGAGGGCAGGAUAACUGCUCCGACUCUUUUUCUGGAAACCGAGGCCCCCGCAGAGCUGGAGAAGAUGUGUUUUAUCAUCCGACUGGCUAAGUCGUUUGAUGGUCUGGGAUCUAGCAGAAAAUAUGUGCUUGAACAGCCCCCAAUGGGGAGGACAGCCAAUGAAACACUCGCACAGAACUAUAAAGGCAGAGAGAUGAGCAAUGGCGUUCGGGGGAAAGUGGUGAAGUUGUGCCCCGAAGUGAUUCAUGAUGCCCUUGAAGAAAGGAUGCGGGGGCAAGGAGAAACCUCGAUAGACGUGGCUGAGCAGCAGGACGUGCUCCCCCUCCCGAGGCGCUGACUCGACCUCGUUCUCCGCCGGCAGCCUCCAGGACUUGUGGACGAUCAUCCCGUGCUCCACCAGCUGCAGCAGAUCCCCCUCCGUCACCAUGGAGGGGAGGAAGUCGCCCUGGAUCCAUCCCGCCGGCAGUGGCCGCUGCCGCCGCUGAGCAGGCGCCUCCGUCUUCCCCUUCUUCUUCCUCGCCUCCAUCUUGCUGGUCUGGCCCUUGGUCAUGGCGGCAGCUGCGAGCCCUCGGGAGGAAGGAGAAGGGAGGAGUAUAGGAGCGCUGGAGGUGGCGAGAAGGGCGGAGCAGACGAGAGCAAGGGAUUCGGCGCGCGUAACGGAGAAGCCUCGCCACCAAGAUUUAAAUAGGGUUCCGACUGGGUCGCUGGCAGGUGGCCCCGAAAACUUAUCCCCCUGACCCACCGCGGCGAUAUUAGUGGAGAGGUUGAAGGCGCGAGAAUCGAGGCGUCAGGCGCUACUCGAGCGCGCUGGCGUCAUCCCCGCUGAGCGCGCGGAACCCGAAAUUUGAGAUCCCGGAAAAUCCGCUGUUGUUAGUUGACCGGUCGCGUCAAAAGAUGUCGCAGAAGCACUCGGCUUCCGACAGUCUGUUUCGCGAGUACUUCCACUCGGAUCGUUGGUCAGAAAAGAUAAAAUGGAUCGGGGCAGGCAACGCCCAAGCCAAAUCUGUUCCAGUCGGAUCCAAACUUCAAGCACCGCUUCGUCGUUUCAACCUCAAUCCAUUCGGGGACUAAUGAUGGGGUCAUAGUCCUAGGGUAGGGUCAUAGGCCUGUCAUGUAGGUCCUACCNUCAGGCUUAUACCCACCACAAUGCACGUUAACAAAUGACUAAGCGCUCAGUUCCUUUAUUUGCACCGAUGCGAGGCCACGCGCCACGAUUCGGUGGCUUAACUGCCCAUCGACCAAGAUAUUGAUCCUAGUGCCUCGCAUUGUAGAUGCCCCUAAUGUAGGAUUAAAAGUAUGUUUACAGGGGACGGUUAGACUAUUUGACUAAAUAAAAAUUUAAUAUUUUUUUAAUUUUAUGAGUCUAUGAGUUUUACCAAUUUUGGGGGUGUUUCUUUCCAGGGACUUUUCGGUGUAGGGACUAAAAAAAGUUUCUUUUAGUCCCGUGUGAAAGAAACAGGGGGGACUUUUAGGGACUAAAAGGGGGUUUUGGGGACUAAAGGAAGAAGUCCCUAUGGGAGGGACUUUUUGGGCUUUUUUAGCUCUUUUCCCAACAAUGUCCCUACUUUUAGCAUGUCAUUUAAUAACUUCUAGUAUAUUACUAGGGUAACAUGGUCUUUUUGCAUGUCAUUUAAUGACCUCUAGUCCAUGUUUAGUCCUUGGAAAGAAACAGAUAGGGACUAGAGACUUUUUAGUUGAGACUAAAAAAAGUCCUAGGACUUUUUAAAGAAACAGGGCCUUUAUCAAGUCUAUCACACCCUAUAGAUGCAAGCCAACGAGCAUAGGAGCGUAAAAUAAAGACAUGCAAGUGUAAGUAGAGGGUAUGGAUAUGAUGAUCAAAUGCAAUGAAGACACGAAUGAUUUUUUGUAUGGUUUCGAUGGGUGGUGUUAUCGUAUGUCCAUGUUGAUGAAGACUUCAACUCAUGGAAGAUAACGGCUGCGCAAGUCCACGAAGGGCUCCACCCAUGAAGGGUUCACACAGAAGCAACCUUGGCUAUUUCAUCAUGACUUGUGUCCACGAAGGACUAGUAAAAGAUUGAUAUGGUUGACGUGAGGGGGGUGAAUAGGCAACUAACAAAUUUUAAACUUUUUUAAAACAAAUUAGGUUUAGCAACAAAUACGUUGUUAGAUAUGCAACUAGAUGAGCAACCUAUAUGAUGCUAACAACAACAAUAAUAAGCAAGAAGUAAAUACAAGUAAGGUAAGAAAUAACCACAAGUGAAACCGAUGAAGACGAGGAUGUGUUUCAUAAGUUCCUUCCCUUUGAGGGGAAGUACGUCUCCGUUGGAGCGGUGUGUAGGCACAAUGCUCCCCAAGAUGCCACUAAGGCCAUCGUAUUCUCCUCAUGCCCUCACACAAUGUGAGGUGCCGUGAUUCCACUAAGUGGUACCCUUGAAGGUGGCAGCUGGGCCUUUACAAACAAUGUUGGGGCUCUCUCCACAACUUAAUGGAGGCUCCCGACGAAACCACGAAGCUCACCGCAAUGGAAUGUGGCUCCGAGGUGACCUCUUCCAUCUAGGGUGCUCAAACACCCAAGAGUAACAAAAUCCACACAAGAAACUUGGGGGAAACAAUUUUCCUUUGGUGGAAGUGUAGAUCUAGAUCUCCUCCUUCAAUCUCUAGCAAGACAACAAGUUUGGAUGGCUAGGCGGAGAGAUCAAGCAAGAAAGCUUGGAGUGCAUAAAUGGUGGAGAGAGAGAGAAGUAAGAGAUAAGGGAGAGGAAGAAGACCCCCCCUUAUAUAGCCCCCUCCACACACACACACUUUCUAACCAUUACAGACGUUUUUACAUAGCAGCGGUUCAACCGGUUGCCAGGGCGGUACAACCGGGUUGCCUAUUUUAGCGAUACAACCGCCGAGUCACCGCCCAAUAACCAGUCCAAAACAGAAGGUUGACCAUUGGUUCCACCUGCCACGAUGAUACAUCUCCGUCAUAUCUACUUUUCCAAACUCUUUUGCCCUUGUUUUGGACUCUAAUUUGCAUGAUUUGAAUGGAACUAACCUGGACUGACGCUGUUUUCAGCAGAAUUGCCUUGGUGUUAUUUUUGUGCAGAAAUCAAAGUUCUCCAAACGUCCUGAAAAUUUACGGGGAGCAGUUUUGGAAAAUAUCAAAAAUAUCUGCGCCAAGUUUCACCUCAGGGGGUGGGCCAGUGGGCCACAAGCCCCUGCUCCGCCACCACCCCCUGGUGGCGGUGGGCAGGCUUGUGGGGCCCACAAGCACCUUCCGCCCCCAACUCUAGCUCUAUAAGUUGCCUUUCGUCCCAGAAAAAAUAAAAAGAGAGGUUUUCGUCGCGUUUUCGAUACGGAGGCGCCGCCACCUCCUGUUCUUCAUCUGGAGGGCAGAUCUGGAGUCCGUCUUGGGCUCCGGAGAGGGGAAAUCGUCGCCAUCGUCAUCAUCAACCUUCUUCCCUCUCCAAUUCCAUGAAGCUCUUCGUCGUUCGUGAGUAAUCUAUUCGUAGGCUCGUUGGGCGGUGAUGAGUAGGAUGAGAUCUAUCAUGUAAUCGAGUUAGUUUUGAUGGGGAUUGAUCCCUAGUAUCCACUAUGUUCUGAGAUUGAUGUUGCUGCUACUUUGCCAUGCUUAAUGCUUGUCACUAGGGCCCGAGUGCCAUGAUUUCAGAUCUGAAAUUAUUAUGUUGUCACCAAUAUAUGUGUGUUUUAGAUCCGAUCUUGCAAGUUGUAGUUACCUACUAUGUGUUAUGAUCCGACAAACCUGAAGUGACAAUAACCGGAACCACUCCCGGUGAUGACCAUAGUUUGAGGAGUUCAUGUGUUCACCAAGUGCUAAUGUGUUGGUCUGGUUCUUUAUUAAAAGGAGAACCUUAAUAUCCCGUAGUUUCCUUUUGGACCCCGCUGCCACAGGAGGGAUGGACAAUAAAUGGCAUGCAAGUUCUUUUCCCUAAGCAAGUAUGACGACACACGGAAUGCAUGCCUACAUCACAUUGAUGAACGGGAGCUAGCCACAUAUCUCUCCGUGUUAUAGCUAUUGCAUGAUGAAUAUCAUCCAAACAAAUCACCGACCCAUUGCCUACGAGUUUGUUCCUACUUCUGUUACUUGUGUUGCUCUGCUGCUGCUGCUACUACUGUUGCUACUGCUGUAACUUGUCUUGCUCUGCUGCUGCUACUAUUGUUCCUACUGUUGUUACUUGUCUUGCUCUGCUGCUACUGUUGCUACUACUGUCGCUUGCUACUGUUGCUACUUGCUACCGUUGUCACUACUGCUAUUCCUUGCCACUGCUAUUGCUCGUUACACUGCUGCUACCUGCUACAAUGUUGGUUCACCAGACGUUGACGGGAACUGACAACUUCCGUCAACGCGGCAACGGAGGCGCCAUUGAUACAAUCGUUAGGAAUAGCCUGCCGUCAAUAGAUCGUUUCUCACACCGUUGUUAUCAUACUACUUUGUUGUUACUACUGUGCUUCCAGAUACUAAUCUUUCAGGUGUGGUUGAAUUUGACAAAUUCAGCUGCUAAUACUUGAGAGUAUACUCUCACCUCCCAUCGUGCAAACCAACAAAUUGGGUCGAAUACUCUACCCUCAAAAACUGUUGCGAACCCACGCGUUGGUGGGCCAUCAACAACAUUCUUCUAGUCUCAUUACUGGGGAGUGCUUUCAGCAUUCUUCUGGUGCCAUUGCAGGAGAAGGUUUGUUGUCAUAAGCAUUCGUCUAGCUAACGCCAGAGAUUGCAGAUCAGCAUUUUUCUGGCGCCAUUGCCGAGGAGGUAUUGCUAUAUUCUCUGAGUUACUUGGGAUUUAUAUCUGCUGAUCACUAUGAAGAAUCUGAAGGAUCCGAAGACCAAAGUCUUGCCCUCAACUACGAGGGGAGGUAAGGAAUUGCCAUCUAGCUCUGCACUUGAUUCACCUUCAGUUAUGAGUAAGUUUGCGACUUCACCUCCUGCUAGAAAUCUUGAUAUGUCGCCCGUGCUUGAUGAUGCUUGUGAUACUACUGCUAGAGAUGCUAUGCUUGAUACUAAGCCUGAUGCUAUGCUUGAUACUGCUAGAGAUGCUAUGCCUGAUACUGUUUUGCCUGAUACUACUAGAGAUGCUAUGCUUGAUACUAUGCCUGAUGAUACUAUGCUUGAUACUGCUAGAGAUGCUAUGCUUGAUACUGCUUUGCCUGAUGAUGCUAGAGAUGCUAUUUUGCCUGAUGAUGCUAUGCUUGAUACUGCUAGAGAUACUCCUUUGCCUGAUGUUCCACUAGGAGUGUUCCUUGAUGCUCAUAUUGCUAGAGUUACUGCCAAUUCUCGUGAUGCUUCUGAAACUACCAAUACUAUUGAGAUAGAACCUGCUUUUGCUCCUGCUAGAUCUAGCUCUCCUAGAUAUGAAUUGCCUGGUAUACCUGAGGGUUACGUUAUGGAGGGAGAGAUAGCUGAGGAUUUUCUGGCGUGUAAGGAUGCCUAUGACGCUGAGAAAUUACUUCUCAAGUGGAAGGAAAAAUCUCGGGAAGCUAGGAUGAAAAAUGACCCGAAGUUUGCCACUUCGCCUAUCUUUGUCACCGAUAAGGAUUAUGAAUUCUGUGUCGACCCUGAGAUAAUCUCUCUAGUCGAAUCUGAUCCUUUUCACGUUAUGAGUCUGAGACGGUCAUAGCCCAUCUUGCCAAACUAUCCGAAAUAGCCAACCUCUUCACUAAUGAGGAGAAGAUCCGCCACUACUAUAUCCUUAAGUUGUUUCCUUUCUCUCUAAAGGAUGACACUAAAGUCUGGUUCACCUCUCUUGCUCCUGGAUGUGUGCGUAGUCCCCAGGAGAUGGUCUACUACUUCUGUGAGAAAUAUUUCCCUGCCCAUAAGAAGCAAGCUGCCUUGCAGGAAAUAUACAACUUUGCUCAACUCCAAGAAGAGAGUCUUCCACAAGCUUGGGGGAGGCUCGUCCAGCUAAAGAAUGCUUUGCCUGAUCACCCUCUUAAGAAGAACGAGAUACUUGAUAUCCUCUAUAACGGACUUACCGAUGCCUCUAGAGACCACCUAGAUAGUUGCGCCGGUUGUGUUUUUAGGGAAUGAACCGUAGAACAAGCUGAGACUCUACUGAAUAAUCUCUUGAUCAACGAUAAUGCUUGGACUAUUCCCGAACCACCUCCUAAGCCAACUCCGAAGAAAAGAGGUAUUCUAUUCCUCAGUCUCGAAGAUAUGCAAGAAGCCAAGAAAUCUAUGCAAGAGAAAGGCAUUAGAUCUGAAGAUGUCAAAAACCUACCCCCUAUCGAAGAGAUCCAUGGUCUCGAUAACCCGAUACAGGUAGUAGAAAUGAAUUCUCUGCGUAGGUUUGAUGAGAGUGAUAUUCCUUUUGAUAAACCUGCUAGCCUAUGCUUUGAUGAAUUUGACAACUUUGUUGCCAAACAACAGAGUUUCAAUGAUUAUGUUAGCAGACAUUUGGAACAAAGUACUCGUAUGCUUAGCCAUUUAAGUGCUUGUGUAGACAGAAAUGUCAAUGCUCUGAACCUUCUGAGUAAACAUGCCUCUAUGAUUACUACUCAGGUAGAACAAGUACUUAAAGCUUAGAAUGACCUGCUCAAUGAAUUAAAUGACAACUCUGUCAGAGUCAUUAUUAGAGGAGGCAAAAUGACACAGGAACCUUUGUAUCCUGAAGGUCAUCCUAAGGGAAUUGAUCAAGAUUCUCAAGGAAUCAAUGCUGAUACACCUAGUCAUCCUAAGGAGAAGAAGGAUGAUAGAAACCUGCACGCCAGUUCACCAAAUACUGCCACACCUGAAGAACCUAAUGAUAUUUCUGCAUCUGAUGCGGAAACACAAUCAGGUGAUGAACAUGAACCCGGUGACACCAUGAACAGUGAUGUUCAUAAUAAUGCUCAACCUAGCCAUGAUGAGGAUGUGGAGAUUGAACCUACGGUUAAUCCUGAUAACCCACAACCUAAGAAAUACGACAAGAAUGACUUCACUGCUAAGAAGCAUGGUAAAGAAAGAGAGCCAUGGGUUCAGAGACCUAUGCCCUUUCCUCCUAAGCCAUCCAAGAAAAAGGAUGAUGAGGAUUUUGAGCACUUCGUUGAGAUGAUAAGACCCGUCUUUCUGCAGAUGCGGUUAACUGAUAUGCUCAAGAUGUCUCCGUAUGCCAAGUACAUUAAAGAUAUCGUGACUAAUAAACGGAAGAUACCGGAUCUUGAGAUCUCCACCAUGCUUGCCAACUACACUUUCAAAGGUGGAACUCCAAAGAAACUUGGUGAUCCCGGAGUGCCCACUAUACCUUACUCCAUUAAAGGAAACUACGUAAGAACUGCCUUAUGUGACCUUGGAGCCGGUGUUAGUGUUAUGCCGCUCUCUCUUUAUCGUAGACUUGAAUUGGAUAAGUUGACACCCACUAAAAUCUCUCUGCAAAUGGCCGACAAAUCAACUGCUUUCCCUAUCGGCAUUUGCGAGGAUGUGCCUGUUGUGGUUGCUAACACCACUAUCUUAACAGACUUUGUUAUCUUGGAUAUUCCCGAGGAUGAUGCUAUGGCUAUCAUCCUCGAAAGACCCUUUUUAAACACUGCAGGGGCUGUUAUAGAUUGCAACAAAGGCAAUGUCACUUUCCAUGUCAACGGUAAGGAGCACACAGUGCACUUUUCGAAGAAACGAUAUCCAGUACAUUGCAUCAAUGCUAUCGAAAAGACUUCAUCGAUUCUCAUUGGGAGCUUUGAAUGCCCUAUUCCUCGUGUCAAGAUGAAGUAUGAUUUGCUUGUUGGGGAGAUACAUAUCCCCAUUGAGGUGACUUAGUGGCUAUUCGAAAAUUCUCCAUUCUCUCUUGCGAUUCGAGAAGGUUUUGUCAUAAGGACUUGAUCAAUCCCAUUGACGGAUUUCUUUCGAUGACCAUGAGACGGAUGAAUCAAAGAGUCACAUACCUCUGUUUUGAGUCUUCAUUUUUUGUUGCUUAGAAGAAAAAUGAUAGAAUUAGUUUAGUUUUUCCUGUUUUCUGUUUUAGCGUCCCGGAGAAAAAUACCUCGAAAAUAAAAGUUCUCCGAUGGUCCUAAAAAAUUAGUAUGAUUUUUUCUGGAUUUUUUGAGAAUUUCUCGGCCUGGGAGCUGGCCUGGGGGCCUGACCAGUGGGCCACAAGCCCCCCCACUGUCACCUACCCCUGGUGGCGGGGUGCAAGCUUGUGGGCCCACAGGCACCCCCUCCACUCAUUCCAGCUCCCAGCCUCUUCUUCCACCUCCAGAAAAAAUUGUUUCGCAGCUCAAACCCGUGUUCUUGCUCAUUUGGCUGUGAUUUUUGAUCUCCUUGCUCAAAGCACCAUUCUCCGAACUGUUUUGGGGAAAUUACUCCUUGGUAAGUGAGUCCUCCAUUGGUCCAAUUAGUUUUUGGUCUAGUUCUUUAUCCUUCGCGAAUUCUUGCUACCUUGGUGACCCUGUUCUUUAGCUAGAAAUGUUGAUUUUAGCUGGUCCCAAGUAGUUUUAGCGUGUGAUACGGUCUCUAGGCACUAGUACGAGUAGUUGCUACAAGCUGGGUUAAUCCUUAUUCACUUUUCUUUCGAAGUCUCUAAAAAAUUCAGAAUUUUUCAGAGUUAGAAAAAGGAAAAGAUGAGGAGGUUCUUGAGAGGCUCUUCAAGCCAUAACCCCAAGGAGGAUGAGAAGACCAACCCCAAGUACGUAGUCCCUCGAGUCACAGAAGUGCGAGCGUGCGAGUGGCCAAGUGGUGAAUUUUUGCGCGCCGCCGGACUUUAUGAAGACUUUUAUUACUUGGUGGAGAACGCAGGUCUUACUGCGUUUGUUGAAGAUAAGUGCCCGCAAUAUCUCCUCCUCACCAAUAUUUUCGUUCAAAGCUUCAACUUUUAUCCGAGGAAGAAUCCUCCCAUGGUUGAGUUCAUGAUAUACGAUGUCCCCCAGUGCAUGACGCUGCAGGAUUUUUGCAAUGUAUGCGAAUUACCUUAUGUUGGGGAUAUCCGUGACCCUCGUCCACGGGACUUGGAGGAUUUCAUUGGUUCUAUUGCUGUUGGAGAGGAGAGAGGAGUGUCUCGCGCUAGAAUUGCUAGCAUACAUUUUUUCUGUGCUUCGGUACUUCUCACUAUUUGUGGGAAAAUGUUUGAUUGGCCGUGGGAGGCUGGAUCACUUAGCUCUCCAGACCUUGCGGUUUUGCGCGAAGGCCUUUAUAACGAUAAGACUUAUAGCCUGGGCGCUAUAGUAGCUCAACGGUUGAACCUGAACCAUUCUAAAGGUGUUGUCUAUGGAGGUAUCUAUGCUACCCGUCUUGCCAGACACUUUGAGAUACCCAUUAGACUAGGAGAGGAAGGAGAGAUGCUUCUCCCUGAGAGAUAUCUGGAUUAUGACAGCAUGGUUCACCAUGAUUUUCUGGAUAGAGAUGCUAGUAGACGGAUGAUUUAUAACUUGGUGUUUAGUCAGGGUACUCGAGAGACUAUUACUUUGCCUGCUCCUUCUUUGUUUGAUCUUCAUGCAGGCAGGUAUACUAUUAUGUGUGCGGACAUCUACACAUAUUGGGGCUUGGCCCAACCACAUGCGCCCGUGCCCGAGCCGACAUUCGAGUACCAGACGCCAGUUUAUCAGUGGGAGCCAGAGGAUCUCACACAGCAGUGGCAUCCACAGUCUGCUCCAGAGUACCCUGGAGCUGGUUAUUUCCCACCUUGGGAGUAGACCAAGCUAGGCCAAAAGCCUAAGCUUGGGGGAGUACGUGUUCUCACCGACUUUACAUUCAUGCUUAUACUUUCACUUUGUUAGCCGGUGUUUACACUUUGCCACUGUAUUAUCCAUGCUAGUUUCUUUUCGUUUUCUUGUUUUGUGUCCUUUUGAGAAAAUCCAAAAAGUUUUUUCUUUCUUCUUUUGCUUGUUGGGAGCUUUCCCGUGUAAAUAGUUUUCUUUUUCUUUGUGUCAAGGUAGAAGAUAUUGGUUACAAUGUUUAUUGGUUCUUGUAUGCUUACCUGUUUAGCUUUCAAAGAGCCAUAUUAUUUUGUAUUCUCCUUUGUGUUUGCGUGCAGAUUCAGCUUAGUCCAAUGCGCUUAUUAUCGUUUUCAUCGUUCAAUCGUGCAAAUGAAAGGCAACAAUGAUGAUAUAUGAUGAAGUGACUGAGACUGAAAAGCUGGUAUGAACUCUAUCUAUUUUGUUUUUGUAAAUAUGACUAGCUUGUCAACCCAGAUUUAGCUUUGUUGUGAGAGAACCAUGUUUGCAAUGACAACUUAGAGAUCAUAGUUUCUGAUGCCAUGCUUAGUUAGCUGAGAGCUUAUAAUGGUUUGUCUUGAUUGCCAACAUAGAUUUUGAGAUGACUAUGAUGUAGUAUGAUAGGAUGGUAUUCUCCUUUGAAUGUUUCAAGUGGCUUGACUUGGUGCAUGUUCAUGCAUGUAGUUGAAAAAAAAUCAACAUAGCCUCUAUGAUGUUCGUAUUCAUGGUGAUUUAUAUCGUGAUCAUGCUUGCAUUCAAUGUUAGUCAAACUCAUUGCAUCUUGAUGACUGUUGUCGCUCUUUAGUUGGUCGCUUCCCAGUCUUUUGCUAGCCUUCACUUGUACUAAGCGGGAAUACUGCUUGUGCAUCCACUUCCAUAAACCCAAAAGUUUUUCCAUGAGAGUCCACCAUACCUACCUAUUUGCGGUAUCUACCAGCCGUUCCAAGUAAAUUUGCAUGUGCCACUCUCUAAACCUUCAAGAAAUAAAUCUGUUUUGCAUGCCCGAACCGCUCAUGUGGUGACAUAGGGCUAUUGGUAUCUUCCAUGUUAGGAGUGUUAUCCUCGACAUGUGUUUAUUCACAGUCAUUCACGAUAAAGGGGCCGGUAUUUGGGAUGCCCAGUUCCACGCUUAAAUCGAAAACAUAACUGUAAAACAAGACUCCCCCUGGAUUGAUGUUAGUAUGGACGGUACCCGAGGAUUCGGCUAGCCGUGGAGUGUGAUUGAUUGGUGGUGGGGGAGUUAAAACUUUACUUUUCUGUUUGGGAACUGCCUAUAGCAUGAGUAGCAUGGAAGAUAUUGAGAACUCUUGGUCAUUCCGUUGACAAUGAAAGCAUGCCACCCAAAAUUAUUAUCUCUGUUUUCAAAGCUUGAGCUCUGGCACCUCUGCAAAUCAAUGCUUCCCUCUGCGAAGGGCCUGUCUAUUUAUUUUCCUGUCGAGUCAUCCUCCUCUUAUAUAAGAACCAAUUAGAGAGCACCUCUCUCAUUUUUAUGCUUUGCUUUUGAUUGAUAUUGAGUAUGACUAUGACUGGAUCUUCGUUGCUAUGAAUUACAAUGUUUAGUCAGCCCUUGAUCUUUGAAAGUGCUCUGCAUUUAUGUUUUGCGGUCUCAGAAAGAGCUAGCGAGAUACCACCUAUUCAUAUUGCUUCAUGCUUGUUUUGAUUGAAGUGUUGGUAUUUGAAACUCAUUAUUAUUUUCUCGUUAGCUGAUUAUGCCAUUGAUAUUAGUUUACCGUGAGACCUUUGUGUCAUUUGCUUACGUGGUUAACUUGUGAUCUUGCUGAAAUUCUGGUUAUGAGUUAGACAUAGUUGCAACAACAAGAUCAAACAGAGUUUGUCAAAGUUCUUCUUUCUCUCUCAGUUUGUCAACUGAGUUGCUUGAGGACAAGCAAGGUUUUAAGCUUGGGGGAGUUGAUACGUCUCCAUCGUAUCUACUUUUCCAAACUCUUUUGCCCUUGUUUUGGACUCUAAUUUGCAUGAUUUGAAUGGAACUAACCUGGACUGGCGCUGUUUUCAGCAGAAUUGCCUUGGUGUUAUUUUUGUGCAGAAAUCAAAGUUCUCCAAACGUCCUGAAAAUUUAUGGGGAGCAGUUUUGGAAAAUAUCAAAAAUAUCUGCGCCAAGUUCUACCUCAGGGGGUGGGCCAGUGGGCCACAAGCCCCUGCUCCGCCACCACCCCCCUGGUGGCGGUGGGCAGGCUUGUGGGGCCCACACGCACCUGCCUCCCCCAACUCUAGGUCUAUAAGUUGCCUUUCGUCCCAGAAAAAUAAAAUAAAAAGAGAGGUUUUCGUCGCGUUUUCGAUACGGAGGUGCCGCCACCUCCUGUUCUUCAUCUGGAGGGCAGAUCUGGAGUCCGUCUUGGGCUCCGGAGAGGGGAAAUCGUCGCCAUCGUCAUCAUCAACCUUCUUCCCUCUCCAAUUCCAUGAAGCUCUUCGUCGUUCGUGAGUAAUCUAUUCGUAGGCUCGUUGGGCGGUGAUGAGUAGGAUGAGAUCUAUCAUGUAAUCGAGUUAGUUUUGAUGGGGAUUGAUCCCUAGUAUCCACUAUGUUCUGAGACUGAUGUUGCCACUACUUUGCCAUGCUUAAUGCUUGUCAUUAGGGCCCGAGUGCCAUGAUUUAAGAUUUGAAAUUAUUAUGUUGUCACCAAUAUAUAUGAGUUUUAGAUCCGAUCUUGCAAGUUGUAGUUACCUACCAUGUGUUAUGAUCCGGCAACCCCGAAGUGACAAUAACCGGAACCACUCCCGGUGAUGACCAUAGUUUGAAGAGUUCAUGUGUUCACCAAGUGCUAAUGCAUUGGUCCGGUUCUUUAUUAAAAGGAGAACCUUAAUAUCCCGUAGUUUUCUUUUGGACCCCGCUGCAACGGGAGGGAUGGACAAUAGAUGUUAUGCAAGUUAUUUUCCCUAAGCACGUAUGAUGACACACGGAAUGCAUGCCUACAUCACAUUGACGAACGGGAGCUAGCCACACAUCUCUCCGUGUUAUAGCUGUUGCAUGAUAAAUAUCAUCCAAACAAAUCACCGACCCAUUGCCUACGAGUUUGUUCCUACUACUGUUACUUGUCUUGCUCUGCUACUGCUGCUACUACUGCUGCUACUGCUGUUACUUGUCUUGCUCUGCUGCUGCUACUAUUGUUCCUACUGCUGUUACUUGUCUUGCUUUGCUGCUACUGUUGCUACUACUGUCGCUUGCUACUGUUGCUACUUGCUACCGUUGUUACUACUGUUGUUCCUUGCCACUGCUAUUGCUCGUUACACUGUUGGUUCACCGGACGUUGACGGGAACUGACAACUUCCGUCAACGUGGCAACAGAGGCGCCAUUGAUACAAUCGUUAGGAAUAGUCUGCCGUCAACAAAUCGUUUCUGACACCGUUGUUAUCAUACUACUUUGUUGUUACUACUGUGCUUGCAGAUACUAAUCCUUCAGUUGUGGUUGAAUCUGACAAAUUCAGCUGCUAAUACUUGAGAGUAUACUCUCACCUCCCGUCGUGCAAACCAACAAAUUGGGUCGAAUACUCUACCCUCGAAAACUGCUGCGAACCCACGUGCUGGUGGGCCAUCAACAACACUCUUCUAGUCUCAUUACUGGGGAGUGCUUUCAGCAUUCUUCUGGUGCCGUUGUAGGAGAAGGUUUGUUGUCAUAAGCAUUCGUCUAGCUAACGUCAGAGAUUGCAGAUCACACGGCUACUAGGCGUGGCUAAGUCCCACGCGGUACAACCGCUAAGAACACCGAUAGUACCCGCUAUACUAAUAUAAUGGUACAACCGGGCCACCACCGCCCAAAUACCGCAGCACAACAGAGUCGUGUCCGCUUGUGGACCAGUGAUGGGUCGGUUCAACCGCCCAGGGGUUGAGCGGUACAAUUGCCCUAGGAAGCGGUACAACCGGUCAGUCGGAGAGGAGGGGCCUCUCUCUCAAUGAUGUUAUGGAACGAGAUGGGUGCAAAAGAGUGUGAGAAGAAUUGAUUCACCCAUAGACUUCCAAUGUAGAUUCCCUCUUAAUAGUACGGGAUCCCUACGACCAAAGAAAAUAAACACGUAGGGAACACGUCUUUGAUCUUUUCUGUUUGGAGGGAAUACAUAACCAUCUUGUGUUUUACAUAUGAUACUUGCACACUUGACACCCAGUUAGAUAACAUAGUGAGUUGCCAUCAUCACCAGAACACUUAAGGUAGGAGAAUGCCCUUACAACUAGGCUCACCCCCUGGCUGCACCCUGAUGGCUUGGGAGCACCUCAUGUGCCCACUGAACUCCAUUUUCUUCCUGGAUUCGUAUUCUGACCUAGAAAAUUCAUUAUAUACUCCUAUAUGUUUUGACUACCGCGUCGCAAGUUUCUUCUCUACCCUUAUUUCGAGCUAUUUUUCUGACUGAUCUAGAUCGUCAUGAUGCCAUCAAGCUCCUCCAAGGACAAGUUCUACGAGAAGGUUAUCAACGCUUACACCCAGAAGGUGAUGAAACACCCUCAAGACAUUCAGAUGUGUUAGGUGGCUUCACUCUCUGGGACACCCUCUGGGACGUUCAAGGGACAAAGUAGGAGGGGAGCGAGAAUGCUAGGCUUGUAGGAGUGGAACAAGAGAUAUUCAAGUGUUAGGGCGGUGGAACGUGGUCUAAGCCCCAAUCACUCCAUGAUCACAGAUUUUAUUCCUGAACACAAGAUGGACAACUAGUAGAUCGCGGAGAUGAUCUUCAAACUCCACGAGAGGCUUCAAGACCUUCAUGCUCAAAUUUAUGAUCUACAAAAUCAAAAUUGUGAGUAUGAAUCUCGUUUCAAGAGGAUGAGCAUAGUUGCAGAUUUUAGGAUCCCAUAGACCAGCUCUUCCUUCUUCAGCGGGGAACCUAUGCCAUGGAAUACGGAUGAUAAGCCCACUACAUCAUCACCACUAUCACCCAAGAAGGACACUUGAGUGCAUGGGUAUGGGCACCACCCUUAGAUUGUUCCAAGCUUGGGGGAGGCGUCCCGAUAUCGUAUCACUGUCACGUUUACAUCGUCAUCUAUUUUAGUUUGAUCCUCGGUUAUUUCAUGAUCUUGAAGAAUAAAAGUUUAGUAUCUUUUUUGUUUAGAGUGUUUGCUUUGUGACCUAUCUAUACCUGUAACCGAGUGUGAGAGUUAUAUAAUAAAUAUUAGUUUGAGUUUGCUUACUUUACUCUCUUGCAUCAAUCGUAGUAAUAAAAUAAAAUAAUUAGAAAGAUCAUAUGCUAAUCCCAUAGGGUGUAAUGACUUCACACACAGAGAAAUAUGUUAAUAAAAGUUGUUGCGAGUUUACAAACAUAGCACUAGUCAUUGAUACAAUCCAUGCAAAUAUAUGAAAUAUGAGAGGAGAUUCACAUACAAAUUUACAAUAUAGGAGAUCUUUUAUGAUUGUGAGCCCCAUUGAAUAUUAUAUAAUGAUUGAAUAGUUGAUGCUGGACAAGGAAGACAAUGUAAUGAUUUAUGUUUGUUUACAUUCACAUAGAAGUUAUGUUGUCAUGGAUUCUCUAACAUGUGGUGAUUGUCUACGAUAUUCUACUAUCCUAAAAAAAUUCACCAAGUAGAGAUACUACUUGUGCAUCCAUAACCCCUAACCUAGUUUCUUGCCAUGGGAGUCCACCAUAUCUACCUAUGGAUUGAGUAAGAUCCCUCAAGUAAGUUGUCAUCGGUGCACAAAGCAAUAAAAAUUGCUCCUAAAUAUUGUUGGAAAUAUUCCCUAGAGGCAAUAAUAAAAUAGUUGUUAUUAUAUUUCCUUGUUCAAGAUAAUCGUUUAUUAUCCAUGCUAAAAUUGUAUUGAUUGGAAACUAAAAUACAUGUGUGGAUACAUAGACAAUACACUGUCCCUAGUAAGCCUCUAAUGGACUAGCUCGUUGAUCAAAGAUGGUCAAGAUUUCCUGACCAUGGACAUGAGUUUUCAUUUGAUAACGGGAUCACAUCAUUAGGAGAAUGAUGUGGUGGACAAGACCCAAACUAUAAACGUAGCAUAUGAUCAUGUCGGUUUACUGCUACUGUUUUCUGCAUGUCAAAGUAUCUGUUCCUAUGAUCAUGAGAUCAUGUAACUCCCAGACACCGGAGGAAUGUUUUGUGUGUAUCAAAUGUCACAACGUAACUGUGUGACUAUAAAGGUGCUCUACACAUAUCUGUGAGGGUGUAUGUUGGGUUGGCAUAGAUCAAGACUCGCAUUUGACACUCCGUGUGACGGAGAGGUAUCUAUGGGGCCCACUCGGUAAUACAACAUCACAAUAAGCUUGGAAGCAAUGUGACUAAGGAGUUAGUCGUGGGAUCUUGUAUUAUGGAACAAGUAAAGAGACUUGUUGGUAACGAGAUUGAACUAGGUAUGGAGAUACCGACGAUCGAAUCUCGGGCAAGUAACAUGCCGAAGGAUACAGGGAACAACAUAUGGGAUGCAUAUCUUGUAUGCUCACUUGUAAUAAAGGGAACAUGUAAGAUUAUGCGCAAUGCAUAUCUUAUAUGCUCAUUUGUUUUACCUGGUUCAUGUGUUGAACUUGGUGUGCUAUCAUAUGUUGAUUUGUCACUUUGAUUUAUUCUGGACAACAUGAAUGAGUGGUGACGUUAUUGGAAGUAUUAAUAGUUAUGUAUUCAUUUGUCAAAUUUGUAUCUCUUUUGAUUUUGAUAGGCUUGUGUAGGCAUAUUUACUAUGUGUAAAUUCCCAUGCCUUAUCUAUCAUAUCCUUUAAAGCUAAGAUGUGCAUGAGAUUAAAAUUCGUAUCUAUAUGCACAUCAUUGAGUGGUUUUUGCCCUAUAUAUUGUAGUUUGACUAACUACUUCGAACUCAAUAAGUUUGGGGGCCAUAUUGUACUUAAAAGUGAUCUAGGUACUUUGGAGAAGCAUUGUUGUUUUGGCUUAUUCAUAAAGAAGGUGGUGCCAUCACGAGGGAAUUAGAGCAAAGAGUACAUUACUCACUCAUUAUUACUCCAUACCAAUGCUUUCUCGGUAACAAGUAUUUACUUCAUGCACGUAUAAAGUGGAGUGAGCCUUGUGUAGGUUGCAUCAUAGCAUGAAAUAGUACUUAUUCUAUUUUGUGUUUUCCUGCAUAUUCUUGAAAACACUCUAUUGCAAUGUUUAGACAAUUGAGUAGAAUCAUCUAAUGGGGAUCUACAAAAUCAUAUUCAUGGUUCAUUCAUCCCAAGACAUGUCAAAUAAGCAACUCAUUGCAUGUCAUUUCCUAAAAUGUUCUCUCAUGUGCAGCUUUUACGAAAAUUCCAAAAACACUAUAAUUGCUUGUAGUAUUGGUAUCUUCGUAGGAAUUCAUGGUCAUGUGAAUGAGAUCAAUUUGUGCCAUGGACCUUGUGCCAUGUGCCUUGCUCUUAUGUUACGAUAUCAUGUGUAUGGUAAUGGAUUUUGUUGGGGGCAGAGUUUAUGCCUAAGUAAUUUUGGUGAUUGAUGACAGUACCGUAAAGGACUAACCGUGUGUGUUAAGGUUUCAGAUAACACACGUCAACGGCACAAGACGACUCGUCUCCUCAUUCAUGGAACGGAAGCACGAUGCUCUCUACGAUUCUCUUUCUUUGAGUCAUAGGAAAGCCGUACUAUUAAGAGGGGAUCUGUAGUGGAAAGGUUUGGGUGGAAUCUAUCUUUGCACGCGCACACUUCACAUAUUCUCCCUUUCCUUCAUCUUUGGAGCGGCCCCCGCCACUUUGUUUCUUGCCUCUUUGCAAAAUGGUCCCCAGCGGUAGUACCGCUCGCUCUAGCGGUAGUAUCGCUGGAGUGCCAGCGGUAGUACCGCUGCAGCCAGCGGUAGUACCGCUAGCUGGCGGUAGUACCGCCCCUGGUCAGCGGUAGUACCGCUCCAGGAGCUUAGUACCGCUUGCCUAGCGGUUGUUCAUGGACGUACCUUUUUGCGAAGACUUUCUUGGCGGUAGUAGUGCUUUUGCACUACCAGGAGCCCAGCGGUAGUACCGCUGGGGCCAGCGGUAGUACCGCUACAUCCAGCGGUAGUACCGCCCCUGGUCAGCGGUAGUACCGCUGGAGUGCCAGCGGUAGUACCGCUGGAGCUCGGGCAGAGAGUGGGAAAACGGUCUGAUUUCCCCCCCACUAUAUAAAGGGUUCUUCUAGCUGAGGAACCUCAUCUCUUACCUCUCUAAGCUCCAUUGUUGCGCCCCAAGCUCAAAAGUGCCCGAUCUCUCUCCCUAGCCAAUCAAACUUGUUGAUUCUUUAGGGAUUGGUUGAGAAGGCCUAGAUCCACACUUCCACCAAGAGAAAAGNUGUCUAUUCACCCCCCCUCUAGCCAACCAUAUCGAUCCUUUCAAUUGGUAUCAGAGCCACGUCUCUUUAUUAAGGGUUUAACCACCCGAAGAGUAUGGAAGGCGAAGAGAGAAUUAACCAUGGGCAACCCGAGGCCAUGGACUUGACUUCGGUCACAAGGGACGACUUGAAUACGGCUAUGGCCGCCCUCAAGACGUCCUUGACGAACGAAGUCAAGACCAUGCUUAAAGAGUUAAUUGAGGGACUUAAAAGUUCACCCGAACUGGCUAUAGUGGUUAAACCCACCAUUACAGAUUCGGAGGCCAACUCCUCUAAGGAAGCGGCUAAAGGUAUGCGACCUGCUUCAUCUCACGAAAAGGAUGGGACUGGAACAUAUGCCUCAGUUCCACCCCCCAUGGUCUAUGGAGGACCCGUUCCCGCACCUCGUCUUAAUCCUGUUGGUCCUCCUCCUAAACUUGUGAAAGGUGACUUUGCUAACUGGGUAUUUUCUAUUAAGUCUCAUUUGAAUCACAGCUCAACAAACUUGUGGAGAAUCAUCGAGCAAGGAUAUUAUCCCCAUGACCCAAGCAACCUCACUCCAAGAGAAGAUGCACACAAUCAAUACAAUCACUCUGCGUUGUUUAUUCUCCAGUAUGCAGUGCCACCUGAAGAUCUUCCCCACUUGUGUCCCUUCACAUUGGCCAAGGAUUGUUGGGAGCAUAUUAUGGUGUUGUACAAGGGAAGCUCAAGCAUUCAGCGAUCCAACUAUGAAGUGAUACUUGAUAAGGCCGAUGAGUUUGUGAUGAAGGAAGACGAAGACCCUCGUGAUCUCUAUCGGAGGGUGACUGCUAUUGCUGUGGCGCUCAAGGAUCAUGGGAGCAAGGAUGUGGAUGAUACAUGGGUCAAGCACAAGUUCCUCAAAGCCAUCAUGCCUUUCAACAAAGCCAUGUCAUCUGUCAUUCGUCAGCGGCCAGACUUCCACUCCUUGUCUUCCAGUGAGGUGUUGGAUGAGUUCAUCGCAAUGUCAAUCAUGAACGAAACAACCGACAAUGCACUUGCUCGUGUUCGAUCAAAGACAACUUCACCCAACCUUGCAUUGAAAGCAAAAGCAAUGCUUGAAGAAGAAGAAGAAGACGAGGAAGAGGAGAGCUGCCCUGAAGACACAAAGUAUGCCUAUCAUGAGCACAUGGCUCUUGCAUCAAGGCAAUUCUGGGGCAACAAGAGGAACUCAAGACCCACCUUCACCAAGAACAACUCGAGUGGAUUCAAACCCAAACAACGAGUAAGGACAUGUUAUAACUGUGGUAACGUGAGUCACUUCGUGGCCGAAUGUCCCUAUGAAAAAAGGGAAGACAACGGAGGCAAGCUCAUUCACAAAGACAAAACCAAGUCAUUUCCAAUCAAGAACAACUUUGUGAAGAAACCUCACCCAAAAGGGAUGGUGGCCCUGGAAGAGUAUCCUUCCGAUGAUGAUGGUGAUGAUGAUGAUACAGUGGCAACGACAACUGUUGCUAUUGCCACUACCCCUUCCCAGAAGGUGUCUCUCUUCAACGCCCCCAACGAGAACCACAUCACCAAGUGCCUCAUGGAAAAAGGUAUCAAUCACGUAACUCUCAUCAUUAAGACCAACAUUGCUUCUGCUCCUUCAUUGUUAAAUUGUGUUGAAGAUAGUGAUGUUGGGGAACUUAAUGAGCAUGAUCUUGAUAAGUUUAUGUGCACUAUUAAGGGAGAACCCAAGAAGCACUUUGUUGCUCUCUUGGAACAACUGGGUGAGGCCACUGACCUCAUUGAGUCUCAUGAGGAGACCAUCUCCGAGCUUCAGGGACAUAGUCGUGACUAUGCCGAUGAAAUUGCUGAAUUAUCUAGUGCUCUAGAAGAGGAGCGCACUCUUCGUUUGGCUCUUGAGGAGUCAUAUAACGAUGACUACGCUAAAAUGCAAAAGAAACUAGAUCAUGAUGUUGUUCUUACUCGUAUGCUUAAAUCUGAAAAGUAUGCUCUUGAGGUUGGCCAUGACAGACUCAAAGAGGAGUUUGACAUACUUGACAAGGCCCACAAAGCCUUGAAAGGUGCUCAUUUCUCUUUGAAAGAGUCUCAUGAUCAACUCCAAGCAAAGCUUACCAAGGAGAUCUCUACUUGUCCUCCCUUUGUGUUAAUUGAUAAUGCUUGUGCAACUAACCCCUGUUGUGAGCAUGUACAUCUUGUGGAGGAAAAUGCCAAGUUGAAGGAGAAACUUGA